This 562-nucleotide ribosomal RNA is filed under the name uncultured bacterium. RNAcentral's name for it is "bacterial SSU rRNA". It matches the Rfam family "Bacterial small subunit ribosomal RNA", at positions 338 to 918 of the family's 1533-position model. The record is from RNAcentral.
CCUACGGGAGGCAGCAGUGGGGAAUCUUGGACAAUGGGGACAACCCUGAUCCAGCCAUGCCGCGUGAGUGAUGAAGGCCUUAGGGUCGUAAAGCUCUUUCGCCUGUGAUGAUAAUGACAGUAGCAGGUAAAGAAACCCCGGCUAACUCCGUGCCAGCAGCCGCGGUAAUACGGAGGGGGUUAGCGUUGUUCGGAAUUACUGGGCGUAAAGCGCGCGUAGGCGGAUUAGUAAGUUAGAGGUGAAAUCCCGGGGCUCAACCCCGGAACUGCCUUUAAUACUGCUAGUCUUGAGUUCGAGAGAGGUGAGUGGAAUUCCGAGUGUAGAGGUGAAAUUCGUAGAUAUUCGGAGGAACACCAGUGGCGAAGGCGGCUCACUGGCUCGAUACUGACGCUGAGGUGCGAAAGUGUGGGGAGCAAACAGGAUUAGAUACCCUGGUAGUCCACACCGUAAACGAUGAAUGCCAGUCGUCGGGUAGCAUGCUAUUCGGUGACACACCUAACGGAUUAAGCAUUCCGCCUGGGGAGUACGGUCGCAAGAUUAAAACUCAAAGGAAUUGACGGGG